AGAACCUGAACCCUACUGUUGGACUGGAUUCUGGGCUUGCUGCCCUGAGCUUCUUCAUCCACAGCUGGGAAGAAUAACAGAUGCCCAGGACCUGUUCUUGGGGAGAUACUCCAGUGCUUGACCGGGAGCUGGGGGGAGAAGGAACCACACACCCAGCUCGAGUGGCUUCCAUCAGGCAGAAACUGGCACGGCCAGGGAGAGUUAUUGGCGGACACAACAUCUUUGUAUGUGGUGCUGAGGAUCGAACCUGGGCCGCACGCAUGCCAGGUUCGCCACCCAUGUUGAUGUGUCCUGCCGGCCGGGACAUUUGGCGCCCAAUGUGUGCCUUAGCCUUUGACUGAGGGGGAAUGCCGUCCUCCGGGAAGACUUGGCCAAGCGGAGCUCGCGAUCGCCUCGGCAGACACCACCGAGAGACAGAUCCAGGAGGAGAGUGGGGACGACGCACGAUGCAGCCAACAAUCUGUGUGAGGAUCCUGCUUAAGGCACUUCUGCUGAACAGGUUCGCCGCCCACGUUGAUGUGUCCUGCUGGCCGGGACAGAACCUGGCUGUAUUUUCCAUCCUUGAUAUCCUUCUGUCUGUUCAAGAACCAGUCUGGGAUCUUGUACUGUUGUGGAUUCUGCAUAAUGGUGAUCACACGUUCAACCUCAUCUUCAGUGAGUUCUCCAGCCCUCUUGGUGAGGUCAAUGUCUGCUUUCCUCAACACCACAUGAGCAUACCUUUGCCCCACACCCUUAAUGGCAGUGAUGGCAAAGGCUAUUUUCCGCUGUCCAUCGAUGUUUGUGUUGAGUACUCGCAAAAAGUGCUGGAACUUUUCAGGAAUCACUAGAGACAUGGCAGCAGCAGAGCGUGUAGGCCUCCUGUGUAAGCGGGGACUGGUUUUAAAGGAAAGGAAAUAAAAUGCUAAUAACUUCAGGACACCUCCCCCUCCUCCAACCUGUUGCCAGGGUUACCUGCCUCCAUGGAACUGUUCUUCCCAACAAAGAUUUGUUAAUGAAUGACCCCUGGACUGCUCAUCUGAACCCCUGGAAGGGUCCUUGUCCACCUUUUGAUCAAGGUGUUCAAACUUUGGCACCAGGGAAACGGGACUUGGAUUCUCCACACCUGCAUCAUCGUCAUCCACAUAGUCAUCUUCAAUACUGCUAAGGACGGACAUUUGGGUUCAGGUCAACCUCUAGCUUCCGGAAGCCCUUGGAGACCACACCUGGCUGGAUGUCCAAGAUACCCUGAGGGAGGCUGGGCCCCUGCUGUUAGCAGUAAAGCAUGGCAGAACCUUACAGUGGCUUCACUUUCUGGAAAUAGACAAGUUGAACAAUAGGCUGCUGAAGCACAUACCAGAAAAUCCAGCAAUUUUAGAAAGUGUGGGCGGGUAUGCCAGGGGAUAGGGUAUUCUCAGUGGCAUCACAGUGCAGCUGGCCCUUCCUUACCAGGUCUAAGAUCAUCCUCUCCUGCUCCUGCCCAGAAGAUCUCUUCAGCAAAUAGAUAAUUCUCCUUUUGAAAAGAUCCCACAGUGGUUUCCCUGCAGGGGGCCCAGCCGUGCCUAGGAAUCCAUGCUUCUUAUUCUAUCUUUGUUUCCAGGUGGGAAGAGGCUUUCAGGACCAACCGUCAUUGAUACAUGAUGGAUGAGAAAGAACAUUGCCAAUGCCACUCAGCAAUGGGAGUUGGAAGGGAGGUGAAGAUGUUGAUCAUUUGAGCAUGAGGGGAUUACAGCUGAGGAAGGAAUGCCCAGACCCUAGGGUGUUCAGGAUGAAGGGGUUGACGAGGACCUUGGCAUGUGGCUUAUUUCUUUCUCCUGAUCUCACAGAUACACCUCCAGAGGGUCACGUCUUGGAAUUCUGCUUCCUCAGUGGCAGUGCUCUGUUCUGGUGCCGAGUUGUUCAAGAGGAACAGUUUCAGAGAGGGAUGAGGUGUUUGGCAUGAUCUGUCUGGAGAUUGACUUUUUUCCUUGGGUCUCAGGAAGCAUUUGCAUGCACACUGCAUCCUAGAUACUGGCCCUCUG
This is a long non-coding RNA of Marmota monax (woodchuck), 1997 nucleotides long. RefSeq lists it as uncharacterized. The record is from RefSeq and is a predicted model, not a curated record. Lineage: Eukaryota; Metazoa; Chordata; Mammalia; Rodentia; Sciuridae. The transcript has 7 exons.